UAUGGCAGCUGUCUUGUAGGGCACGAAGCCAACUAUUCAGGUGGAAAUGUCAUUAGGAGUCCUGGACUCUCCGUGGGUUGAGCCUGUGUUCGGAACCCCAAGCUUGUCUCUGGUAGGGGAGGGUUCCAGCUAGCUGUUGGGGGCAGGGAACCACUAGGGAUUUGCAGAGAGGACCCCUUAUG
This 182-nucleotide long non-coding RNA is filed under the name Peromyscus maniculatus bairdii (prairie deer mouse). Its description in RNAcentral is "Pvt1 onco conserved region 2 (ENSPEMG00000005627.2)". It matches the Rfam family "Pvt1 oncogene conserved region 2". Lineage: Eukaryota; Metazoa; Chordata; Mammalia; Rodentia; Cricetidae. The record is from RNAcentral.